Molecule: ribosomal RNA, 220 nt
Filed under: Clostridioides difficile
Lineage: Bacteria; Bacillati; Bacillota; Clostridia; Peptostreptococcales; Peptostreptococcaceae
Description: partial 16S ribosomal RNA
Rfam family: Bacterial small subunit ribosomal RNA
Source: RNAcentral
CGAAAGGUAUGCUAAUACGGGAUAAUAUAUUUGAGAGGCAUCUCUUAAAUAUCAAAGGUGAGCCAGUACAGGAUGGACCCGCGUCUGAUUAGUUAGUUGGUAAGGUAACGGCUUACCAAGGCGACGAGCAGUAGCCGACCUGAGAGGGUGAUCGGCCACAUGGGAACUGAGACACGGUCCAAACUCCUACGGGAGGCAGCAGUGGGGAAUAUUGCACAAU